Molecule: ribosomal RNA, 440 nt
Filed under: uncultured bacterium
Lineage: Bacteria
Description: partial 16S ribosomal RNA
Rfam family: Bacterial small subunit ribosomal RNA
Source: RNAcentral
CCUACGGGAGGCAGCAGUAGGGAAUAUUGCUCAAUGGGGGAAACCCUGAUGCAGCAACGCCGCGUGGAGGAUGAAGGUUUUCGGAUUGUAAAGUCCUGUUGUUAGGGAAGAUGAUGGCGGUAUCUUACGAAUAAGCCCCGGCCAACGACGUUCCAGCCGACGCGGUAAUACGGAGGGUGCAAGCGUUACUCGGAAUCACCGGGCGUAAAGGGCGCGUAGGCGGGAUAGCAAGUCAGAUGUUAAAUACUAUGGCUUAACCAUAAAACUGCAUAUAAAACUGUUAUACUAGAGUAUGGGAGAGGUAAGUGGAAUUCUUGGUGUAGGGGUAAAAUCCGUAGAGAUCAAGAGGAAUACUCGUGGCGAAGGCGACCUGCUAGAAUGUAACUGACGCUGAUGCGUGAGAGCAUGGGGAGCAAACAGGAUUAGAUACCCUUGUAGUC